This 503-nucleotide ribosomal RNA is filed under the name uncultured bacterium. RNAcentral's name for it is "partial 16S ribosomal RNA". It matches the Rfam family "Bacterial small subunit ribosomal RNA", at positions 28 to 523 of the family's 1533-position model. The record is from RNAcentral.
GAUGAACGCUAGCGGCAGGCCUAACACAUGCAAGUCGAGGGGCAGCAGGAUUAAGCUUGCUUAAUUGCUGACGACCGGCGCACGGGUGCGUAACGCGUAUGCAACCUACCUGAUACUGGGGUAUAGCCCGGAGAAAUUCGGAUUAAUCCCCCAUAGUACUAAUGAAUCGCAUGGUUUAUUAGUUAAAGCAUUGCGGUAUAAGAUGGGCAUGCGUGCUAUUAGCUAGAUGGUGAGGUAACGGCUCACCAUGGCUACGAUAGGUAGGGGGCCUGAGAGGGUGGUCCCCCACACUGGUACUGAGACACGGACCAGACUCCUACGGGAGGCAGCAGUGAGGAAUAUUGGUCAAUGGGCGCAAGCCUGAACCAGCCACGCCGCGUGCAGGAAGAAUGCCCUAUGGGUUGUAAACUGCUUUUAUUUGGGAAUAAACCUCUUUACGUGUAGAGAGCUGAAGGUACCAAAUGAAUAAGCACCGGCUAACUCCGUGCCAGCAGCCGCGGUAA